GACAUCCAGAGAACUUGGCAGAGAUGCCUCGGUGCCUUCGGGAACUCUGAGACAGGUGCUGCAUGGCUGUCGUCAGCUCGUGUUGUGAAAUUGUUGGGGUUAAGUCCCCGCAACGAGCGCAACCCCCUAUCCUUUGUUGCCAGCGAUUCGGUCGGGAACUCAAAGGAGACUGCCGGUGAUAACCGGAGGAGGUGGGGAUGACGUCAAGUCAUCAUGGCCCUUACGAGUAGGGCUACACACGUGCUACAAUGGCGUAUACAAAGAGAAGCGACCUCGCGAGAGCAAGCGGACCUCAUAAAGUACGUCGUAGUCCGGAUUGGAGUCUGCAACUCGACUCCAUGAAGUCGGAAUCGCUAGUAAUCGUAGAUCAGAAUGCUACGGUGAAUACGUUCCCGGGCCUUGUACACACCGCCCGUCACACCAUGGGAGUGGGUUGCAAAAGAAGUAGAUAGCUUAACCUUCGGGAGGGCGUUUACCACUUUGUGAUUCAUGACUGGGGUGAAGUCGUAACAAGGUAAGCGUACGUGU
RNAcentral lists this ribosomal RNA (528 nucleotides) under uncultured bacterium. RNAcentral's name for it is "bacterial SSU rRNA". It matches the Rfam family "Bacterial small subunit ribosomal RNA", at positions 983 to 1509 of the family's 1533-position model. The record is from RNAcentral.